CAGAUAGUUAAUAAAUCUUAGUUUCUGCAUAACACGUGAAAAAAAAAGAGAGAAUGGAAGAUGAAAUACAGAUUUAAAGUUCAGCUUUUUACGUGUUUGUGAAAAGACAAAACACAUUCGCCGAAAGGGGAGAAGUGGCAUGUUUCUUAGUAAGUUUACAGACUUCUAGCUGUUUCUGCUCUCUCUCAUUCCAUAUUAUAAAUAUGUGGGAGCUGCUAACAAUUCUCAUAUCCUGUAUGACACCAUGCUUGCGUCAUUGAUCACAUGAUGCUUUCCCGCCAUAAUUGGCAGAAGGGAGCCUGAC
Molecule: long non-coding RNA, 304 nt
Organism: Argiope bruennichi
Lineage: Eukaryota; Metazoa; Arthropoda; Arachnida; Araneae; Araneidae
Exons: 3
Source: RefSeq, a predicted model, not a curated record